Clostridium disporicum is the source of this 132-nucleotide regulatory RNA element. It matches the Rfam family "Ribosomal protein L10 leader". Rfam says of the family: This family is a putative r-protein leader autoregulatory structure found in B. subtilis and other low-GC Gram-positive bacteria. NCBI's taxonomy places the organism in Bacteria, Bacillati, Bacillota, Clostridia, Eubacteriales, Clostridiaceae. The record is from Rfam.
AAAAAAAGAAUACUGUUUCCGUAGACAGUAGGUGCCGAAAGGUUUAAAUAAUUGCCUACCUAGGAAUCAAAAUAAGGUAAGUAAUUAUUUUGGUCUUCCUAUGUCUAUGGGAAGACCUUUAUUAAUAUAUUU